AUUGAACGCUGGCGGCAGGCCUAACAUAUGCAAGUCGAACGGUAACAGGAAGAAGCUUGCUUCUUUGCUGACGCGUGGCGGACGGGUGAGUAAUGUCUGGGAAACUGCCUGAUGGAGGGGGAUAACUACUGGAAACGGUAGCUAAUACCGCAUAACGUCGCAAGACCAAAGAGGGGGACCUUCGGGCCUCUUGCCAUCGGAUGUGCCCAGAUGGGAUUAGCUAGUAGGUGGGGUAACGGCUCACCUAGGCGACGAUCCCUAGCUGGUCUGAGAGGAUGACCAGCCACACUGGAACUGAGACACGGUCCAGACUCCUACGGGAGGCAGCAGUGGGGAAUAUUGCGCAAUGGGCGCAAGCCUGAUGCAGCCAUGCCGCGUGUAUGAAGAAGGCCUUCGGGUUGUAAAGUACUUUCAGCGGGGAGGAAGGGAGUAAAGUUAAUACCUGUGCUCAUUGACGUUACCCGCAGAAGAAGCACCGGCUAACUCCGUG
RNAcentral lists this ribosomal RNA (490 nucleotides) under uncultured bacterium. Its description in RNAcentral is "partial 16S ribosomal RNA". It matches the Rfam family "Bacterial small subunit ribosomal RNA", at positions 30 to 507 of the family's 1533-position model. The record is from RNAcentral.